RNAcentral lists this ribosomal RNA (247 nucleotides) under uncultured bacterium. Its description in RNAcentral is "partial 16S ribosomal RNA". It matches the Rfam family "Bacterial small subunit ribosomal RNA", at positions 108 to 353 of the family's 1533-position model. The record is from RNAcentral.
GAGUAACGCGUGGGUAACCUGCCUCACACUGGGGGAUAACAGUCAGAAAUGACUGCUAAUACCGCAUAAGCGCACGGGAUUGCAUGAUCCAGUGUGAAAAACUCCGGUGGUGUGAGAUGGACCCGCGUUGGAUUAGCCAGUUGGCAGGGUAACGGCCCACCAAGGCGACGAUCCAUAGCCGGCCUGAGAGGGUGAACGGCCACAUUGGGACUGAGACACGGCCCAGACUCCUACGGGAGGCAGCAUG